CCUACGGGUGGCAGCAGUGAGGAAUAUUGGUCAAUGGGCGCAAGCCUGAACCAGCCAUGCCGCGUGCAGGAUGACGGCCCUACGAGUUGUAAACUGCUUUUGUACGAGGGUAAACGCAGACACGUGUACCUGUCUGAAAGUAUCGUACGAAUAAGGAUCGGCUAACUCCGUGCCAGCAGCCGCGGUAAUACGGAGGAUUCGAGCGUUAUCCGGAUUUAUUGGGUUUAAAGGGAGCGUAGGCGGUCGGUUAAGUCAGAUGUGAAAGUCUGAGGCUCAACCGUGAAAUUGCAUUUGAUACUGGCCGGCUAGAGAGUAGUUGCGGUAGGCGGAAUGUGUGGUGUAGCGGUGAAAUGCUUAGAGAUCAUGAAGAACACCGAUUGCGAAGGCAGCUUACCAAGCUGCUACUGACGUUGAGGCACGAAAGCGUGGGGAGCAAACAGGAUUAGAUACCCGUGUAGUC
Molecule: ribosomal RNA, 460 nt
Filed under: uncultured bacterium
Lineage: Bacteria
Description: partial 16S ribosomal RNA
Rfam family: Bacterial small subunit ribosomal RNA
Source: RNAcentral